Long non-coding RNA from Leptinotarsa decemlineata (Colorado potato beetle), 1326 nucleotides. NCBI's taxonomy places the organism in Eukaryota, Metazoa, Arthropoda, Insecta, Coleoptera, Chrysomelidae. The record is from RefSeq and is a predicted model, not a curated record.
CUGGAAGUAUUCUUAAUUCACAAAUACAAAAAUUUGUGUUGAACUUGUGCAAAUAUUUUGAAACAGAGAGAGCGCUUGGAGGACCUUUUUCACCAUGUUCAUCUGUUCAAGAGAGAGUUGCAGAUGCACUUAAAAUAUCUAAAAAAAAAGGUGUUCAACAUCAAACAAAGAAAUACACAAACCCAUUCCAUCAACUCCAGGAAAAAGUAGACAUCGUUUCAAAAAGAAAACAUCUGAUUUACCUGUAGGGCAGAAAAUGGAAGGACGAUAUACUCUGUACGAUAUGUAUAAAGACAAAAAAAAAUCUCACCCUUCGAUCUUUGAACGAUGAGCUGAAAAAUAAAGAAAUUGUUUCUAUGUGCAAAUCGUCUUUGAAUGUUUUACUGAAAGAGCUGGGAUUUAAAUUUGGAAAAUAUGAUAAUCGAAGAGCUUUGAUUGAAAGACCUAAUAUCGUUUCACAAUGAGCAUUUUUUUUACGCAAAUACCGGGAAAACCGAAGAAGUUUAAAACCACGAGAAGUGGUUUUCUUAGAUGAAACAUGGAUAUAUUCUAGAGGAAAUAAAAAAAAGUCUUGGUAGGAUAAUAAUGUAAAAAGUAUACGCAAACCCGAAGGAUAUGAUGGUAAACGAUUUAUUGUUGUGUAUGCUGGUUCUAUGAAAGGGUUUAUUCCAGAAGCCAGUUUAUUGUUCUGUUCAAAAUUUUUGACCUUAGAUUUCCAUGGAGAAAUGAAUAGUACAAUGUUCACCAAGUGGAUUACUUUACAGUUACUUCCCAGUUUGGACGAACCAUCUUCAAUUAUAAUGGACAAUGCACCAUACCACAGUGAAAUUUUGAAUGAACAGCCUACCAGUUCUUCAAGAAAAUCGGAAAUUGUUAGUUGGUUACACGAAAACAACAUUGAUUUUGAUGAAAAAAAUUAACAAAACCAGAAUUAUUGCAAUUGGCUAAGACGAACCGAAAGGAAAAUAUAUAUAUAUUAUAGAUGAACUGGUACGAGAACAUGGACAUGAAGUAUUAAGAUUAUCACCUUACCACCCAAAUCUUAAUGCUAUUGAAUGAAUUUCGGCUGAUUGCAAAACCUUCUUUAACAAAUAUAUUGGUAGAGAUGGAUACAGUGAUGAAACAGUAUUAAGUAUGUGGAAUGAAGCGUUAGAGAAGUGCAACGCUGAAACCUGGGCAAAAUGUGUGAAACACACCGAAUCACUCAUAGAAAAAUGGUAUGAUCGAGAAAAGCUUCUUUGUGAUAUGGAUAUUACACCUAUUAUUAUAAACAUUAGUGAAAGUUUUGAAUCUGAAAGUGAUUAAUAUAUUUUUUUUUCAUAAAUG